GGGCGUUAAGUUGCAGGGUAUAGACCCGAAACCCGGUGAUCUAGCCAUGGGCAGGUUGAAGGUUGGGUAACACUAACUGGAGGACCGAACCGACUAAUGUUGAAAAAUUAGCGGAUGACCUGUGGCUGGGGGUGAAAGGCCAAUCAAACCGGGAGAUAGCUGGUUCUCCCCGAAAGCUAUUUAGGUAGCGCCUCGUGAAUUCAUCUCCGGGGGUAGAGCACUGUUUCGGCUAGGGGGCCAUCCCGGCUUACCAACCCGAUGCAAACUGCGAAUACCGGAGAAUGUUAUCACGGGAGACACACGGCGGGUGCUAACGUCCGUCGUGAAGAGGGAAACAACCCAGACCGCCAGCUAAGGUCCCAAAGUCAUGGUUAAGUGGGAAACGAUGUGGGAAGGCCCAGACAGCCAGGAUGUUGGCUUAGAAGCAGCCAUCAUUUAAAGAAAGCGUAAUAGCUCACUGGUCGAGUCGGCCUGCGCGGAAGAUGUAACGGGGCUAAACCAUGCACCGAAGCUGCGGCAGCGACACUGUGUGUUGUUGGGUAGGGGAGCGUUCUGUAAGCCUGCGAAGGUGGCCUGUGAGGGUUGCUGGAGGUAUCAGAAGUGCGAAUGCUGACAUAAGUAACGAUAAAGCGGGUGAAAAGCCCGCUCGCCGGAAGACCAAGGGUUCCUGUCCAACGUUAAUCGGGGCAGGGUGAGUCGACCCCUAAGGCGAGGCCGAAAGGCGUAGUCGAUGGGAAACGGGUUAAUAUUCCCGUACUUGGUGUUACUGCGAAGGGGGGACGGAGAAGGCUAUGUUGGCCGGGCGACGGUUGUCCCGGUUUAAGCGUGUAGGUGUGUGUUCCAGGUAAAUCCGGUUCACUUUAACACUGAGGCGUGACGACGAGGCACUACGGUGCUGAAGCAACAAAUGCCCUGCUUCCAGGAAAAGCCUCUAAGCAUCAGGUAACAUCAAAUCGUACCCCAAACCGACACAGGUGGUCAGGUAGAGAAUACCAAGGCGCUUGAGAGAACUCGGGUGAAGGAACUAGGCAAAAUGGUGCCGUAACUUCGGGAGAAGGCACGCUGACACGUAGGUGAAGUGAUUUACUCAUGGAGCUGAAGUCAGUCGAAGAUACCAGCUGGCUGCAACUGUUUAUUAAAAACACAGCACUGUGCAAACACGAAAGUGGACGUAUACGGUGUGACGCCUGCCCGGUGCCGGAAGGUUAAUUGAUGGGGUCAGCGCAAGCGAAGCUCCUGAUCGAAGCCCCGGUAAACGGCGGCCGUAACUAUAACGGUCCUAAGGUAGCGAAAUUCCUUGUCGGGUAAGUUCCGACCUGCACGAAUGGCGUAAUGAUGGCCAGGCUGUCUCCACCCGAGACUCAGUGAAAUUGAACUCGCUGUGAAGAUGCAGUGUACCCGCGGCAAGACGGAAAGACCCCGUGAACCUUUACUAUAGCUUGACACUGAACAUUGAGCCUUGAUGUGUAGGAUAGGUGGGAGGCUUUGAAGUGUGGACGCCAGUCUGCAUGGAGCCGACCUUGAAAUACCACCCUUUAAUGUUUGAUGUUCUAACGUGGACCCGUUACCCGGGUUGCGGACAGUGUCUGGUGGGUAGUUUGACUGGGGCGGUCUCCUCCUAAAGAGUAACGGAGGAGCACGAAGGUUGGCUAAUCCUGGUCGGACAUCAGGAGGUUAGUGCAAUGGCAUAAGCCAGCUUGACUGCGAGCGUGACGGCGCGAGCAGGUGCGAAAGCAGGUCAUAGUGAUCCGGUGGUUCUGAAUGGAAGGGCCAUCGCUCAACGGAUAAAAGGUACUCCGGGGAUAACAGGCUGAUACCGCCCAAGAGUUCAUAUCGACGGCGGUGUUUGGCACCUCGAUGUCGGCUCAUCACAUCCUGGGGCUGAAGUAGGUCCCAAGGGUAUGGCUGUUCGCCAUUUAAAGUGGUACGCGAGCUGGGUUUAGAACGUCGUGAGACAGUUCGGUCCCUAUCUGCCGUGGGCGCUGGAGAACUGAGGGGGGCUGCUCCUAGUACGAGAGGACCGGAGUGGACGCAUCACUGGUGUUCGGGUUGUCAUGCCAAUGGCACUGCCCGGUAGCUAAAUGCGGAAGAGAUAAGUGCUGAAAGCAUCUAAGCACGAAACUUGCCCCGAG
RNAcentral lists this ribosomal RNA (2132 nucleotides) under Salmonella enterica subsp. enterica serovar Enteritidis. RNAcentral describes it as "partial 23S ribosomal RNA". It matches the Rfam family "Bacterial large subunit ribosomal RNA", at positions 690 to 2803 of the family's 2925-position model. The record is from RNAcentral. Lineage: Bacteria; Pseudomonadati; Pseudomonadota; Gammaproteobacteria; Enterobacterales; Enterobacteriaceae.